Molecule: ribosomal RNA, 501 nt
Filed under: uncultured bacterium
Lineage: Bacteria
Description: bacterial SSU rRNA
Rfam family: Bacterial small subunit ribosomal RNA
Source: RNAcentral
UACGGAAGGCAGCAGUGGGGAAUAUUGCACAAUGGGCGCAAGCCUGAUGCAGCCAUGCCGCGUGUAUGAAGAAGGCCUUCGGGUUGUAAAGUACUUUCAGUCGUGAGGAAGGUGUUAAGGUUAAUAACCUUAGCAAUUGACGUUAGCGACAGAAGAAGCACCGGCUAACUCCGUGCCAGCAGCCGCGGUAAUACGGAGGGUGCGAGCGUUAAUCGGAAUUACUGGGCGUAAAGGGCACGCAGGCGGUUAAUUAAGUUGGAUGUGAAAUCCCCGGGCUUAACCUGGGAAUGGCAUUCAAGACUGGUUAGCUAGAGUCUUGUAGAGGGGGUAGAAUUCCAUGUGUAGCGGUGAAAUGCGUAGAGAUGUGGAGGAAUACCGGUGGCGAAGGCGGCCCCUGGGACAAAGGACCUGACGCUCAUGUGACGAAGCGGUGGGGAGACAAACGAGGUAUUAGACUACCCUGUGAACGUACUCGACCGAAGGCCAACAACGGGAAGGGGU